Molecule: ribosomal RNA, 254 nt
Filed under: uncultured bacterium
Lineage: Bacteria
Description: partial 16S ribosomal RNA
Rfam family: Bacterial small subunit ribosomal RNA
Source: RNAcentral
UACGUAGGGUGCGAGCGUUGUCCGGAAUUAUUGGGCGUAAAGAGCUCGUAGGCGGUGUGUCACGUCGGCCGUGAAAACCUGCAGCUUAACUGUGGGCGUGCGGUCGAUACUGGCAUCACUGGAGUUCGGCAGGGGAGACUGGAAUUCCUGGUGUAGCGGUGAAAUGCGCAGAUAUCAGGAGGAACACCGGUGGCGAAGGCGGGUCUCUGGGCCGAGACUGACGCUGAGGAGCGAAAGCGUGGGGAGCGAACAGG